CUAGGCUUGACAUGCACGGAAAUCUCGCAGAGAUGCGGGGUUCGUAAGGGUCGUGCACAGGUGGUGCAUGGUUGUCGUUAGCUCGUGUCGUGAGAUGUUGGGUUAAGUCCCGCAACGAGCGCAACCCUCGUCGUCGGUUAUCGGUGUCCGAGGAAACUGCCACGAUCAACGUGGAGGAAGGUGGGGAUGACGUCAAGUCAGCACGGCCCUGACGUCCUGGGCGACACACACGCUACAAUGGCUGGGACAAUGAGAUGCUACCUUGUGGUACAAACACAUGAGAAGGAUGCCAACCUCACAAACCCGGCCCCAGUUCGGAUUGCAGGCUGCAACCCGCCUGCAUGAAGGAGGAAUCGCUAGUAAUCGCCGGUCAGCCACACGGCGGUGAAUACGUUCCC
This 398-nucleotide ribosomal RNA is filed under the name uncultured bacterium. RNAcentral describes it as "bacterial SSU rRNA". It matches the Rfam family "Bacterial small subunit ribosomal RNA", at positions 975 to 1375 of the family's 1533-position model. The record is from RNAcentral.